Molecule: unclassified non-coding RNA, 357 nt
Filed under: uncultured fungus
Lineage: Eukaryota; Fungi
Description: partial contains small subunit ribosomal RNA, internal transcribed spacer 1, and 5.8S ribosomal RNA
Rfam family: Eukaryotic small subunit ribosomal RNA (bases 1-73)
Source: RNAcentral
UCAAACUUGGUCAUUUAGAGGAAGUAAAAGUCGUAACAAGGUUUCCGUAGGUGAACCUGCGGAAGGAUCAUUAACGAACGAGGAGCGAGCGAGACUGUAGCUGGCCUCAGUGAUCUUCGGGGCAUGUGCACGUCUCGCUCGUUUUUCCAACCCCCCUCUUCCUUACACCUCUGUGCACUUCUCAUGGGUUCGGGGCUCUGCACGCGGAAACGCGGUCGCGACCCCUCUCCUGUGUGCUCCCUACACACACGUCUGUUUGUCUCAGAAUGUCACCUGCCGUGCAGCGUCGAAAACUGCAUACGAAAUACAACUUUCAGCAACGGAUCUCUUGGCUCUCGCAUCGAUGAAGAACGCAGC